Molecule: ribosomal RNA, 1499 nt
Filed under: metagenome
Description: bacterial LSU rRNA
Rfam family: Bacterial large subunit ribosomal RNA
Source: RNAcentral
AGGCAGAAAUGCGUAGUCGAUGGACAGCAGGUUGAGAUUCCUGCACCCGUAAUGAACAGAACUGUAGUGACACGGAAGGUAAGACAGAGCCGGGAAUGAGAAAACCGGUGCAAGCACAAUAGAUGUGUGGGAGGAAAAACCCCCGCAUAAGUCGAAGGUGUGACGCGGACCGAAAAAGAGUAGGGAAGUUGUUAAGCAAGCCGUCAAGAAAAGCUGCUAUUGUUUCAUUAUGGCCCGUACCGUAAACCGACACAGGUGGAUGGGGAGAGAAUCCUAAGGCCGGCGGAAGAAGUAUUGUUAAGGAACUCGGCAAAAUGACCCCGUAACUUCGGGAGAAGGGGUGCCUGCGAGAGCAGGCCGCAGAGAAGAGGCCCAAGCAACUGUUUAGCAAAAACACAGGUCUAUGCAAAACCGAAAGGUGAGGUAUAUGGGCUGACGCCUGCCCGGUGCUGGAAGGUUAAGGGGAGUGGUCAGGAAACGAAGCCACGAACUUAAGCCCCAGUAAACGGCGGCCGUAACAAUAACGGUCCUAAGGUAGCGAAAUUCCUUGUCGGGUAAGUUCCGACCCGCACGAAAGGCGUAAUGAUUUGGGCGCUGUCUCGACAAUACAUCCGGUGAAAUUGAAGUGCCAGUGAAGAUGCUGGCUACCUGCGCCAGGACGGAAAGACCCCAUGGAGCUUUACUCCAGCUUGAUACUGGGACCCGGUAUUGCAUGUACAGGAUAGGUGGGAGGCUAGGAAAUGUGGACGCCAGUCUGCAUGGAGCCGCUGUUGGGAUACCACCCUUGUGGUGCUGGGUUUCUAACCAGAGGCCGUGAACCGGUCUGGGGACAAUGUCAGGUGGGGAGUUUGACUGGGGCGGUCGCCUCCGAAAGGGUAUCGGAGGCGCCCAAAGGUUCCCUCAGAAUGGUUGGAAACCAUUCGAAGAGUGCAAAGGCAGAAGGGAGCUUGACUGCGACACCGACGGGUGGAGCAGGUACGAAAGUAGGGCUUAGUGAUCCGGUGGAAUUUAAGUGGGAAUGCCAUCGCUCAACGGAUAAAAGCUACCCUGGGAUAACAGGCUGAUCACUCCCAAGAGUUCACAUCGACGGAGUGGUUUGGCACCUCGAUGUCGGCUCAUCGCAUCCUGGGGCUGAAGUCGGUCCCAAGGGUUGGGCUGUUCGGCCAUUAAAGCGGUACGCGAGCUGGGUUCAGAACGUCGUGAGACAGUUCGGUCCCUAUCCGUCGUGGGCGUAGGAUAUCUGGGAGGAGCUGUCCUUAGUACGAGAGGACCGGGAUGGACUGACCUCUGGUGUACCGGUUGGCGAUCAACGCCACGGCCGGGUAGCCAUGUCGGGACGGGAUAAACGCUGAAGGCAUCUAAGCGUGAAGCCCCUCUCAAGAUGAGAUAUCCCAUCGUAAGAGUAAGACCCCUUGAAGACGACGAGGUUGAUAGGGCAGGGGUGGAAGUGCCGUAAGGCAUGGAGCUGACUGCUACUAAUCGGUCGAGGGCUUGAUCAA